Molecule: long non-coding RNA, 1415 nt
Organism: Felis catus (domestic cat)
Lineage: Eukaryota; Metazoa; Chordata; Mammalia; Carnivora; Felidae
Exons: 2
Source: RefSeq, a predicted model, not a curated record
UCACCCUACUGGGGAGCCUGGGUGGCUCAGUUAAGCAUCUGACACUGGACCUCGGCUCGUGGCAUGACCUCACCAUUUGUGAGCUCGAGCCCCGCGUCGGGCUCUGUGCUGGCAGCGUGGAGCCUGCUUGGGAUUCUCUCUCUCCCUCUCUCUCUCUGCCCCUCCCCUGCUUGCGAGCAUGCAUGCCAGCGCUUUCUCUCCCUCUCUCAAAAUAAGGAAAGAAAAACAUUUAAAAAAAAAAAAGGCACCUGGAUAGAAUUUGCAGGCAAUCUGCUCACAAGCUGUCUGGCAGUUAGAACAAAGGUCUCUUUGACUCUGGGAUUGGGAAAAGAAAGGCUCUUGCCAAAAUAAAGAAAAGCUAGCAAUUGUUGGGAGGAAACCCGGCUGGUAACCAGAAGGUGAGAAAGGAAUACUGAUCAUUCCUGUGCUUUCAAAGGUACCACUCCUUCCUUCCUCCUCCCUGGAAUCCUUUAUGGAAAACCUAAGACCUAUACUUUUAGAAAGAAGCCCUCUGAAACUAAAGGUUGAAGGUGUAUUUAUGAAGGUGAGGCAUCAAUUAAAAAACUCGUCGGGCGGCUCUUCGUGAUUAGGCACUGCGGAGGAGUUUUUAGAAAUCACCUAGUUUCACGUGUACAGAACUAGAACUUUCCGGCUGGGGAAACCGAGGCCCGCGGAAUACACACCAAAACGCAAAAUGUUACAAAGGAAAACAAGAGCGAAAAAGCGCUCGAAAUAGGAAACGAACAUUGUGCGGCUGCGCAGACCGCAGCUGGACGGGACCCUCCCACGGGAACGGUCCCGCGAACACGCAGGCAGCCUCACGAGGUCCCGGGCGCCUGCAGCGUCUAUAUGCAGACUGGGGGCCCAGAGACACAACACGGUUCGGCGGUGGAGACGGGCCACAACAACCAGAGGACGGUGAAUGUCCACAUGCAACAGGAUGACGUUGGACCUCCUUCUCACACCAUAAGCAAAUGGACAUCAGCUGGUGAAUGGAUGAAUGAAGUGUGGUAACUCUAUACACUGGAAUAUUAUUCUGCAACGAAAAGGAGUGACGUAAUGCACACAUUCUUCAACAUGGAUAAACCUUGGAAGCAUGUUGCUAAGUGAAGGAAGGCACACAUUAAAGGCCACAUGUUCAGAUUUCAUAUAUAUGAGAGUUCCAUAAUGGGCAAAUCCAAAGACAAAAAGCAGAUGAGUGGUUUCCACAGUCUGGGGACAGAGGGUCAUGGAAAGUAAUAGCUAAUGGAUAGCAGGUUUCUCUGGGGGUGAUGAAAUGUCCUAAAAUCAAUCGUGGUGAUGGUUGCACAACUCUGUGAAAACACCAAAACAAAACAAAACAUUGAAUUGUACACUUGGAGUGAAUUUUAUGGUAUAUACAUUUCAUCACAAUAAAGCUGCCGAAAACACGCUUA